RNAcentral lists this ribosomal RNA (327 nucleotides) under Triticum aestivum (bread wheat). Its description in RNAcentral is "partial small subunit ribosomal RNA". The record is from RNAcentral. Lineage: Eukaryota; Viridiplantae; Streptophyta; Magnoliopsida; Poales; Poaceae.
AUGUUAUUGGCUACAAACAUCAUUGCACCAAUUGAUCCAAAGUUUAGAAAUGUGCAUGAGAAACAGCAAGACCCUAUGUUCUUUCCUUACUUCAAUGGUUGCAUUGGUGCUAUAGAUGGGACACACGUACUUGUCACCGUGCCAGCUAAAGAUAUGAUUAACGGUUGACAUGGUUAUUCAUCACAAAAUGUGAUGGCCGUAUGAGACUUGGACAUGAGAUACACUUCUGUAGUGGUUGGAUGGCCUGGUUCGGCACAUAACACAAGGAUAUUCAAGGACACAUUGGACAAGUACAAAGAAAAAUUCCUACGACAGAUAUUUCUUUAA